RNAcentral lists this long non-coding RNA (5941 nucleotides) under Hordeum vulgare. RNAcentral describes it as "long non-coding RNA (HVUL_LNC013238)". Lineage: Eukaryota; Viridiplantae; Streptophyta; Magnoliopsida; Poales; Poaceae. The record is from RNAcentral.
AUAAUAAAUGCUUAUUAAUUUGAUUUUAGUCUCUUUAAUACUUGGAUCCAAGCAUGGGUGAGGCUAGCAAGUUUUCGGUCAUUACUUUUAGUCAUGAGACUAAAACAUAUCCAAGCACCCUCAUAGGUAGAUACCGUAACAUGUUAAAUGCUAUGCUACUAUGUGUCAUGCAUGUCAAUAAAUGAGAUCACCUAUGAUACUAGUUUAUGUUACUAUGCACUAUGAAGAUAGUAUCAUACAAUAGUAACAUAUGCAUGAUACUACUAUAUGUUACUCUCCACUAUGAGCAGCCUUGCGGAUUUGGUAUCAUAAACUAGUAUCAUGCGCAUGAUACUAGUAUAUGAUACUACCCAUUACAACCAGCCUAANNNNNNNNNNNNNNNNNNNNNNNNNNNNNNNNNNNNNNNNNNNNNNNNNNNNNAGCCUAAGUAAGGCUGAAAGUUAACUAUUUUUGACACGACUUGCCUUUGUGAAUAUAGACUCUUGAGAACUUCUCUAAUGGCGUUGUUUUCUCGAUGUAGUUUUGUGAAUUUAUUGAUUAAUUACUUUCUUUAUAAGAUAUUCAGAGUCUUGGGGUGAUUACCCUCUUUCCAAAACAAAAACAAAAAUAAAGAUAUUCAGAGAUAAUUCAUAGAAACUGAAUAAAGUAACCAAAAUCUUUGAUUUGACUAAACUAUUCUAGAGUCUUUCUACAGGGAUGUGCUGAAUGAGUACGCAUCAAAAACCAAGAAAAUAAGAGACCUUGUCUUGCGAUCGAUAGCCAAGCUCCUGGAGAUUGACGAGGAUUACUUCGUCAACCAGAUAUCAAACAAGGCUUCCGGGUUUGCUAGAUUGUACUACUACCCUCCGUGUCCGAGACCUGACCUAGUUUUGGGCCUCACGCCUCACUCUGAUGGCAACCUCCUUACCAUCCUUUUUGUCGACGACGAUGUUGGUGGCUUGCAAGUUCAGAGAGAUGGGAAAUGGUACAAUGUUCCAGCCAAGCCUCACACGCUGGUGAUCAACUUAGCAGACUGCCUGGAGGUAGGCACCUACACAUACAAGCUAGAUACACACUUCCUCUCUUGAAUGGUCUAUAAUGAUCAACGUUAGUAUAUCCUAUUUCCAGAAUCCUAAUGCUUCAUUAACUCGUUUGUGCAAUUUUAAUGUAGAUAAUGAACAAUGGAAUCUUUAGGAGCCCAGUUCACAGAGUGGUGACGAACACUGAGAAGGAGAGGCUUUCGCUGGCCGUGUUCUAUGCCGUGGAUGAAGAAACGGUGCUGGAGCCAGCGCCCGGUUUGCUGGAUGAGAAGCGACCACCAAGAUAUAGGAAAAUGAUGGCCAAGGAUUUCGUAGCCGGACUUUUUGAACAUUUCCUUCAAGGGAAGAGAUUCAUCGACACCCUGAAGAUAUAAGUUAUAGUACGUGUUAACAUUGAUUACCUAUGUAGAAUAAAGAGAUGGUCCUAUCGUCUCUGAGUGGGGGUUUUAUCUAUCAUUAUCAUAAGCAACUUAGGUUGUGUUUAUAUUCAGUUGUUUCCAAAGGAUGCAAAACUUCGCUCCAUCUCAGUGAUUAAGAAGAACGGUGUGCUAGUUAAUUAUAAAGUGGAAAGACGGACCAAAGUAAAUACCCCCUCCAUCCGAAAAUACUUGUAUAAGAAUGGAUGUAUGUAAAUGUAUUUUAGUUCUAUAGACAUAUAUUUGUAUUUAUUUGUAUGAUAUAUAAUUUCGGACGAAGGGAAUAUAAGACAAUUUUUAACACUGUCAUGGACUCUAAAAACGUACUACCUCCGUACCUAAGUAAUUGUUGUUAUAUAGUAUUAUCAAAGGUUAUAGAGGUAGUACAUGCAUCCACACUGACAACCAUGAGACAUGACAGCCGCUAGAGACAUCCGGCCGCACAUAACAAAUUACACAACGCACACGGCUAAGUAGAGAAACACUGCCGAGCUUGGACGUAAGCGUGCGUCACCUCUCUCAAAGCAAGCUACUCCAACUUCAUGGCAGAGACCAUAAGGCCUCGUUUGGUUAAGGGGAAUUGGGGAGGUUUUGAGAGGAAAAUCCCCGUGAGGGCCAGAAAUCCCACAAAUCCUCGGGCGCCCAUUUGGUAGGAGGGGUUUGCUUAGCCCAAUCUCCCCCGUUCCCCUUCAAUCCCUUCCUAUCCAUGUGUUUUAAAACCCUCUUCGGGGGACUAGUGGAAGUAAAGCACCGGGAAUUUGAGAGGAUUGAGUGAAACAAAGGGAUUCACCCAAUCCCCUGAAAUCCCUCCCUCUCAAAACCUCCCCAAUCCCCCUUAACCAAACGAGGCCUAAGUGAGACUCUCACUGCAAUAGUUGUGUGAUGUCACAUUAAGAUCUGCCAAGCUAUCAAGGCACACAUAUCGGCAACAAGGGAACUUCAAUUUUGACGUCGAGAAAAAAUAUAAGUUCAAUGUUAGGCACCUCUAGGCGUCAGUCGACCGGAUCCAACCACGUCGCCUCCCACGCGACACGAUACCUCAAGCAUGGGCUGUUGGACGCCCCACCACGGACGCGUGGGACAAGAAUAUAAAUUUCUGAAAUUUGACUUGUGAGUCACUUCCUUGAAUUUGAGCAAUGAGCCAAUUAUCCAAUUUCUGUGCAUUCUUUUCCCGUCAAUUAGCUCAGCGUGGCCACUGACCAUUGGUGCUACUGUUCAUCGUCAGAUCGUGUGAUACAAGAUAGCUAUUGGUGCUACUUCACUCACACUCUCACCGGUCUGACCGGAGGACGACACAAUUGAAAAACUUAUGGGUAUUAGGCAUUUGAUCCCCUAUAUCAAUUUAGUGGAGUAUAUUUGCCUUUUCUAUUUUACUAAGUUUGACUCAACCGAUCGCAAAACACCUUUAUAUUUACUCCUUCUUUCUGCGUCCGACUGAAAUCGUCUCCCCCCUGCGUCGCGGGUCAUCCUCCACGGACGCUUCAUCGCUGCUCGUCUGAUGCGCCCGUCGCCGUGUGUGCGCGCCUAUACGCCGGUUCGAGGACUUCCUCGUCCACCCUCUGUCCCGGCCACCGGCGAGGACCUAGAUCGGGGUUCGACAACGAGAUGAGGGGACAUGGGUGGCUGAAAUCAUGGAUCGAGAGACCCACACCCGGUGGUGGCUCGGGAGCUUCCAUACUGCCGAUCUCACAGACAUGGAGUACGACUGCUAGCAGGUCCGCUACCACGGUGUGGUGGCCCGACUCAACUUCCCCUUUGACACGGCUCCGGUCCACCUCGUCCCGUCGGAGCCGGGGUGGUGAGCUCGACUAUGGCGCGGGAGGGCCGUGAGGCGAGGGAGCGCCUCGAGGCCAAGCUCGCCGACGAGGCCUACAUGCAAGAGCUCUGCCGGCAGCACACGAAGCUCGUGGAGGCGGAGCGGAUGAUCUUUGCCAACACCGACAACGAGCUUAUCGUUAUCUCCUCCGAUGAUGAGGAGAUCGACGUCUAUGAGUGGAGGAGUGUCUUCCCCCACGACGAAGACGAUGACACCGGCCUGGACCAAAAUUGCGGCACACCGUACCUGAUGAGGAAGGACCGUCUCGAUCUCACAUUCGACCGAAGUAGUUUAGUUAAGCUUAGUUUAAUUUAAAUUUGUUUUUUAUGUUUAGUUAUGCAAAACUAUCUAAGUUUAUGUUUGAAUGCAUGCUACUUACGGUUAAAAUUGUUUUGAAUUUGAUUAAAUUAAAAUUUACUCCGUUAAGUUUAGGGAAACGCUUGUGGCCGGCGCUUCGGCCGAGCCGUUCGGUCGGUCGCGCACGACCCUCCGUGCAGCUUAUUACGCAUGCAGCUUUUUCCGUCUAAAUUUGCUGCAACUAGCGUUUAAAUUUGCUACAAGGUUUUUAUUUGCUACAUUUGUUCACUAAAAAAGCUGCAUACGUUUGGUUGCAACUCCAGUUCAACAGAUUUUUGCUACAACCGGUGUUUUUUUUUUUUGCUACAAUCAGGUUAAUUUUUGCUACAACCGGUAUCAUUUUUUGCUGCAACCAUUCAGUAAAAAAGUUGCAUACAUGUUCGUGAGAGUUGCAACCCGAGUACACCGGAUUAUUUUUGCUACAACCAAUAUUUUGUUUUGUUACCACGCAUCAUCAGCGUUGUUUUUUUAUGACCACGUUGAUAUUUUUCUGGUAUAACCAUAUUUUUGUUGCAACCAUGACGAAAAUUUGCUGCAUCAUCGCUGAAAUUUACUGCAUCGAGGAAUAUUGCUGCAUGGAUAGAUCUAACGAUACGGCCCGCAUACGGCUGACGGAUCCGGCAGCGCGCGCUGUCGGCACGCCGGCGCAGAGCACUGCACUUAAGUUUAAGUUUAGGGCUUUGGUUCAGUCGCAAUCUUGACUAGUGUAUGACACGAUUGUGACCGACAAAGAAGAGCCGCAUGGAGUGCGUCAUGCAUGAUGUCGCCAAGAAAAUGAUUGGGGCCACGUUUCUCUAUUUUCCUUCGAGGAGGAUAAAUACAAAAUUUUGAAAAGGAAAAUCGAGGCACACACUCGAGGCUACAUAUAUCGGCCCCUCCAUCUUCAACUUCAAGUGAGCGGUAGUACUACCCAAACACUUACCCAAACAAAGAAAUGGCUCCGUCCGAUGAGUCGCCGAUGGUGCGGCCGACGACGGUGCAGGAGCUGGCUGCGGCCGGCGUCGAGGAGCCGCCGCGACAGUACGUGGUGCAGGAGCAGGACGGUCACGGCGACCUGCUGGCCGCCGACGAGUUUCCGGAGCCCAUCCCCCUCAUCGAUCUUACCCGGCUCACGGACGCCGACGAGGCCGAAAGGCUCCGGGCGGCGCUGCAGACAUGGGGCUUCUUCCUGGUGAGCGAGCGUCUGCAUGCGUGCACCUUAAUUAGUUCAUAAAGUUGUUGAACUCUUGCUAAAACUGUUUAACACUCAUCCAGGCCACCAACCAUGGGAUCGAGGACUCUCUCAUGGAUGCCAUCACGAGCGUGUCGAGGGAGUUCUUCCGGCAGCCGGCGGAAGAGAAGCAGAAAUGCAGCAACCUGGUGGACGGCAACGGCGAGCACUACCAGGUGGAAGGGUAUGGAAGUGACAAGGUGGUGUCCGAGGAUCAGGUCCUCAACUGGAACGACCGGUUGCAUCUGAGAGUGGAGCCGGAAGACGAGAGGAAUUUCGCUAAGUGGCCCAGUCACCCGGAAUCUUUCAGGUGACGUUUUUCUCAUUUCUAAUACUGUACUAUUAGCUUAGUUGUAAGGAAGACGCAGUCAAAUUUUAGGAAAUUUCAGUGUAAAGAAUAGUACUCUGUGAUUUAGUCAAUGGUCCGUAGCAUUGCAUGAAUCUCUUGCUAGUGGACCCGUGUUAUGAUGUCAUUUCCUAUAAUGAAGUUAGGCAGAGUCUUUUUUUAAUAAACCACACAACUUUUCCUUGUGAAUUCAGACUUUUAUAAACUUCUCUUGAUGAUGUAGUUCUUUUGUUUAUCGUGGUGUAGUUUUGUUAAUUUUAUUGAUUAGUAGUUGCUUUCUUUAAAAGAUAUCCAAACUCAGGGGGAGUUACCCUAUUAAAAAAGGGGUAUUCACACACUACUCAUAGAAAGCUAGAAAAUGAAUAGAAGAACCAUUUUUUUUUGUUAUAAUUUUUGCAACCGAGAAGAACCAAAAGCUUUGAUUUGACGAAAUUGUUCUAGAGUCUUACUACAGGGAUGUGCUACAUGAGUAUGCAUCAAGAAUCAAGAAAAUAAGAGACCUCGUCUUGCGAUCGAUAGCCAAGCUCCUGGAGAUUGACGAGGACUAUUUCGUCAACCAGAUAUCAAACAAGGCUUCCGGGUUUGCUAGAUUCAACUACUACCCUCCAUGCCCGAGACCUGACCUAGUUUUGGGCCUCAGGCCUCACACCGACGGUGGUCUCCUUACCAUCCUUCUCAACGAUGACACCGUCGGUGGCUUGCAAGUUCAGAGAGAUGGGAGAUGGUACAAUGUUCCAGCCAAGCCGCACACAUUGCUGGUUAACCUAGCAGACUGC